RNAcentral lists this ribosomal RNA (253 nucleotides) under uncultured bacterium. RNAcentral describes it as "partial 16S ribosomal RNA". It matches the Rfam family "Bacterial small subunit ribosomal RNA", at positions 524 to 776 of the family's 1533-position model. The record is from RNAcentral.
UACAGGGGUCGCAAGCGUUGUUCGGAUUCACUGGGCGUAAAGGGUGCGUAGGCGGUCGGGUAAGUCUGACGUGAAAUCUUCGAGCCUAACUCGGAAACUGCGUCGGAUACUAUUCGGCUAGAGGAAUGGAGGGGAGACUGGAAUACUUGGUGUAGCAGUGAAAUGCGUAGAUAUCAAGUGGAACACCAGUGGCGAAGGCGAGUCUCUGGACAUUUCCUGACGCUGAGGCACGAAAGCCAGGGGAGCAAACGGG